UGGGGAAUUUUGCGCAAUGGGCGAAAGUCUGACGGAGCGACGCCGCGUGGGCGAAGAAGGCCGUGAGGUUGUAAAGCCCUUUUCUACUUGAGGAAUAAGCCUAGGAGGGAAUGCCUGGGUGAUGACGGUAGGGUAGGAAUAAGCCCCGGCUAAUUACGUGCCAGCAGCCGCGGUAACACGUAUGGGGCGAGCGUUGUUCGGAAUUAUUGGGCGUAAAGGGCGCGUAGGCGGACGUGCAAGUCUGGUGUGAAAGACCGCAGCUCAACUGCGGGCACGCGCUGGAAACUGUAUGUCUUGAAUCCUUGAGGGGGAACUGGAAUUCCUGGUGUAGGGGUGAAAUCUGUAGAUAUCAGGAAGAACACCGGUGGCGAAGGCGAGUUCCUGGCAAGUGAUUGACGCUGAGGCGCGAAAGCGUGGGGAGCGAACAGGAUUAGAUACCCCUGUAGUCC
Molecule: ribosomal RNA, 449 nt
Filed under: uncultured prokaryote
Description: bacterial SSU rRNA
Rfam family: Bacterial small subunit ribosomal RNA
Source: RNAcentral